Molecule: ribosomal RNA, 459 nt
Filed under: uncultured bacterium
Lineage: Bacteria
Description: partial 16S ribosomal RNA
Rfam family: Bacterial small subunit ribosomal RNA
Source: RNAcentral
CCUACGGGGGGCAGCAGUGAGGAAUAUUGGUCAAUGGCCGGAAGGCUGAACCAGCCAAGCCGCGUGAAGGACGAAGGUGCCAAGCAUUUUAAACUUCUUUUGUCAAGGGACAAAAUCAGGCUCGAGAGCCUGACCGAGGGUCCUUGAAGAAAAAGCAUCGGCUAACUCCGUGCCAGCAGCCGCGGUAAUACGGAGGAUGCGAGCGUUAUCCGGUUUUAUGGGGUUUAAGGGGUGCGUAGGCGGACUGUUAGGUCAGCGUGAAGAGCCCGGGGCCCACCCCCGGACAGCCGUUGAAACUGGCUGUCUUGAGAUGUCGAGAGGUAUGCGGAAUGCGCAGUGUAGCGGUGAAAUGCUUAGAUAUUGCGAAGAACUCCGAUUGCGAAGGCAGCAUACCGGAGGCGAUCUGACGCUGAGGCACGAAAGCGUGGGUAUCGAACAGGAUUAGAUACCCCUGUAGUC